UAACAGGAAGCAGCUUGCUGCUUUGCUGACGAGUGGCGGACGGGUGAGUAAUGUCUGGGAAACUGCCUGAUGGAGGGGGAUAACUACUGGAAACGGUGGCUAAUACCGCAUAACGUCGCAAGACCAAAGAGGGGGACCUUCGGGCCUCUUGCCAUCAGAUGUGCCCAGAUGGGAUUAGCUUGUUGGUGAGGUAACGGCUCACCAAGGCGACGAUCCCUAGCUGGUCUGAGAGGAUGACCAGCCACACUGGAACUGAGACACGGUCCAGACUCCUACGGGAGGCAGCAGUGGGGAAUAUUGCACAAUGGGCGCAAGCCUGAUGCAGCCAUGCCGCGUGUAUGAAGAAGGCCUUCGGGUUGUAAAGUACUUUCAGCGGGGAGGAAGGUGUUGUGGUUAAUAACCGCAGCAAUUGACGUUACCCGCAGAAGAAGCACCGGCUAACUCCGUGCCAGCAGCCGCGGUAAUACGGAGGGUGCAAGCGUUAAUCGGAAUUACUGGGCGUAAAGCGCACGCAGGCGGUCUGUCAAGUCGGAUGUGAAAUCCCCGGGCUCAACCUGGGAACUGCAUUCGAAACUGGCAGGCUUGAGUCUUGUAGAGGGGGGUAGAAUUCCAGGUGUAGCGGUGAAAUGCGUAGAGAUCUGGAGGAAUACCGGUGGCGAAGGCGGCCCCCUGGACAAAGACUGACGCUCAGGUGCGAAAGCGUGGGGAGCAAACAGGAUUAGAUACCCUGGUAGUCCACGCCGUAAACGAUGUCUACUUGGAGGUUGUGCCCUUGAGGCGUGGCUUCCGGAGCUAACGCGUUAAGUAGACCGCCUGGGGAGUACGGCCGCAAGGUUAAAACUCAAAUGAAUUGACGGGGGCCCGCACAAGCGGUGGAGCAUGUGGUUUAAUUCGAUGCAACGCGAAGAACCUUACCUGGUCUUGACAUCCACAGAACUUUCCAGAGAUGGAUUGGUGCCUUCGGGAACUGUGAGACAGGUGCUGCAUGGCUGUCGUCAGCUCGUGUUGUGAAAUGUUGGGUUAAGUCCCGCAACGAGCGCAACCCUU
RNAcentral lists this ribosomal RNA (1047 nucleotides) under Salmonella enterica subsp. enterica serovar Typhi. RNAcentral's name for it is "bacterial SSU rRNA". It matches the Rfam family "Bacterial small subunit ribosomal RNA", at positions 64 to 1106 of the family's 1533-position model. Lineage: Bacteria; Pseudomonadati; Pseudomonadota; Gammaproteobacteria; Enterobacterales; Enterobacteriaceae. The record is from RNAcentral.